UUGACAGUCCUGUGAAUUGAAUUCUCUUCUUAAACACAAAACAGACAUAUGACAGAAGUACCAGAUUUCCCUCAGUGCUCAGCAAAUGUGCCCCAGCCAUGGCCUGCAUCGACAACCUCUAAAGAUGAGAGAGUAGUUCAGACUCUGUGCCCAUUCAGUCCUUGGCCUCU
Unclassified non-coding RNA from Chelonoidis abingdonii (Abingdon island giant tortoise), 170 nucleotides. Lineage: Eukaryota; Metazoa; Chordata; Testudines; Testudinidae. The record is from Ensembl.